UACGUAUGGUCCAAGCGUUGUCCGGAAUGACUGGGCGUAAAGGGUGUGUAGGCGGAAAUGUAUGUCAGGUGUGAAAUCCCUCGGCUUAACCGGGGCACUGCGCUUGAAACUGCAUUUCUAGAGUAUGUCAGGGGUAAGCGGAAUUUCCGGAGUAGCGGUGAAAUGCGUAGAGAUCGGAAAGAACACCAGUGGCGAAGGCGGCUUACUGGGACAUAACUGACGCUGAGGCACGAAAGCGUGGGGAGCGAACGGG
Molecule: ribosomal RNA, 253 nt
Filed under: uncultured bacterium
Lineage: Bacteria
Description: partial 16S ribosomal RNA
Rfam family: Bacterial small subunit ribosomal RNA
Source: RNAcentral